UACGGAGGGGGCUAGCGUUGUUCGGAAUUACUGGGCGUAAAGCGCACGUAGGCGGACUUUUAAGUCAGAGGUGAAAUCCCAGGGCUCAACCCUGGAACUGCCUUUGAUACUGGGAGUCUAGAGUAUGGUAGAGGUGAGUGGAAUUCCGAGUGUAGAGGUGGAAUUCGUAGAUAUUCGGAAGAACACCAGUGGCGAAGGCGGCUCACUGGACCAUUACUGACGCUGAGGUGCGAAAGCGUGGGGAGCAAACAGG
RNAcentral lists this ribosomal RNA (253 nucleotides) under uncultured bacterium. RNAcentral describes it as "partial 16S ribosomal RNA". It matches the Rfam family "Bacterial small subunit ribosomal RNA", at positions 524 to 776 of the family's 1533-position model. The record is from RNAcentral.